AAUAAACGCUGGCGGCGUGCCUAACACAUGCAAGUCGAACGAGAAAAGCUUUCGGGCUUAGUAAAGUGGCGAACGGGUGAGUAACGCGUGAAUGAUCUACCCUUUAGUGGAGAAUAUCCUCGAGAAAUUGGGGUUAAUACUGCAUAAGUUCCUUCGGGAAGAAAGAUGGCCUCUUUGCUGUCGCUAAAGGAUGAGUUUGCGCACUAUUAGCUAGUUGGUGGGGUAAAGGCCUACCAAGGCAAGGAUGGUUAGCCGGCCUGAGAGGGUGAACGGCCACAUUGGAACUUAGAUACGGUCCAGACUCCUACGGGAGGCAGCAGUGAGGAAUAUUGCGCAAUGGGCGAAAGCCUGACGCAGCGACGCCGCGUGGGGGAUGACGGCCUUCGGGUUGUAAACUCCUUUCGCUAUCGACGAAGCCACCUUGGGUGGUGACGGUAGGUAGAUAAGAAGCACCGGCUAACUACGUGCCAGCCGCCGCCGUAA
This 483-nucleotide ribosomal RNA is filed under the name uncultured bacterium. Its description in RNAcentral is "partial 16S ribosomal RNA". It matches the Rfam family "Bacterial small subunit ribosomal RNA", at positions 29 to 523 of the family's 1533-position model. The record is from RNAcentral.